GGGCUGUGAUGAGUUUUAAAAUCUGUCAAUCCCCUGACCAGAGUGAUGUGACCUAGUCUCUGAGCUC
This 67-nucleotide small nucleolar RNA is filed under the name Phascolarctos cinereus (koala). RNAcentral describes it as "Small nucleolar RNA SNORD110 (ENSPCIG00000006006.2)". Lineage: Eukaryota; Metazoa; Chordata; Mammalia; Diprotodontia; Phascolarctidae. The record is from RNAcentral.